GUGUCAGCAGCCGCGGUAAGACGUAGGAGGCGAGCGUUGUCCGGCAUCAUUGGGCGUAAAGAGCGCGCAGGCGGCUUGGUAAGUCGGAUGUGAAAACCCGGUGGCUCAACCACGGGCCUGCAUCCGAUACUGCCCGGCUAGAGGUAGGUAGGGGAGAUCGGAAUUCCUGGUGUAGCGGUGAAAUGCGCAGAUAUCAGGAGGAACACCGGUGGCGAAGGCGGAUCUCUGGGCCUUACCUGACGCUCAGGCGCGAAAGCUAGGGGAGCGAACAGGAUUAGAAACCCCCGUAGUCC
This 293-nucleotide ribosomal RNA is filed under the name uncultured bacterium. Its description in RNAcentral is "partial 16S ribosomal RNA". It matches the Rfam family "Bacterial small subunit ribosomal RNA", at positions 505 to 796 of the family's 1533-position model. The record is from RNAcentral.